GUAGGGUUUUUAAAAAUAUAUGUGGCUUUACAGUUUUGUCAAAAUGAAUUGAUAAUGUUUUUGGAAAUCAUAAGAGCUAUUUGCCAGAUAGCAAUUUUGCAUCUAAAAUUGAGUAGUGAUGACUAAUUAAGUUAAGUGACUACAGACUCUGUGGGCCAAAGAAAAUUUGGGGAUUAAAUGGCCUAAUUACAUCUCUGUGUGCCUGUGCCUUCAAGUUGCUUGUUAAUUCAGGGUGACUUCAUUAAUUUCAUGAGGUUUUCUUAGCCAAAGAAUGCUCAGAGAUGAUUUCCAAGUGCCUUCCAUUGGAUAUAGCUUACAGCACCUGAUAUUUAUUGGUAAUCCAACUUCCAAGUACAAACCAGAAGUGACUCUGCUUAUCUUCCAUCGAUGACUUCAGAAUACUUUAGACUUAGUCUAAAUGACUAAAAUUGUAAAGACAUACCCAUUAAGAAAGCAUUUGAGUGCAGAUUUUAGAUUAUUAAAAAGGCAAUGGGAACUAGCUCUUUAGAUACGUACAUAAUACUACAAUUAAACAUGUACACAUAUAUAUUAGAACUUCCACAGGCCAGAACUUCUUCAUGACCUCAAAAUAAGAGGCUAUUCAAGGUAGAUCCAUUAUUUUAAAUAUUUUUAAAGCCAAAUAUAUUUUUUUACCUGCAGCAAAACAAACAAAACCCUAAUGUUUUGUAUUUAACAGAUAUUUUUUCACUCUUUAAUUUAUUCUAGGUUACUGUAGGUAAUUUGCAAAUUACACAAUGAAACAUGGUUUUUGUUCCUGGAUUAUAAAUGUUGUUUCCUAAUUGGUUCUGUCAUAAAACUUGGAAAACUAUAGCACAUUUUGCUAUAGUUUUUAAUGGAUGUUUCAUCAAGUCUCAACCAAUUCAACAUAUGUUGUUGAAGGCUUUCAUGGCCGGGAUCACAGGGUUGUUGUAUGCCUUUCGGGCUGUGUGGCCAUGUUCCAGAAGUAUUCUCUCCUGACGUUUCACCAACAUCUAUGGCAGGCAUCCAUAUUCUCAGGAUUGUUUAAUACUUUGUAAGUAAUUCAUAAAACUAAUGAUUUCAAGUUUCUUUGCUUUCUUUGUAAAUAAAAUCUGUAUCUAAGCUAUUUACAAGUGUAUACAGGCAUAAGAUAAAAUUGCCAGAAUUCAAGUAAUACCUGCCCAAUUGUGCAAUGUGAAUAGUAUAUCUUCCUCUCCUUUUUUUCCCCCUUUCUCCUUCCACCAUUCAGCUUAGGUUUUCACCAACAACCCCACCCCCAUUCCCUGAUAAUUCAAGAUUCAAACAUGAGAUCAGCAAUGGGUCUUAUGAGACAAGGAAGGGUAGAGCCUGAAUGAACUGGGUAUAGUGAAAAUAUUUAGCUAAAAAAACCCACCAGAAUCUUGGUAGAUUGAGGAACAAUUCUUCUAAACAAGUCAUAGCCAAGAGAAAAAAAUAUUUGUUCAAUGGCCAAUGAGACUGUGACAUACACCAAGUAGGUGCUGUCAUUGCUGCCAUUCCCACUAGUGAUUGCAUCCUACAUAAUCUUAGCUAAAGCAAAUGUGAUUUUUUUUCCAGACCUUGGAUUACUACAGUGAUGUAUAAAAUGUUCAUUUUCAUUUCAUAAGAAUGUAAAUAGCUUGGCCCUCUUAAGCCCUAUCUGCAACUAUCAGCAACAUUGGGACCAGAGCUCUAGGCUUCUGAGAAGCCUGUCUUCACUUAUUAAUCUAAUCACACAAUGUCACAGGAUAACUCAAUGCAUUAGUGCAGAGUUUCAGAUGUUUAGGUUUCAUAGUCCUGAAGCUAUUCUAUUUUAUUUCUUGCUGAUUAUUCCAGUUGUGAGCAUUGGUAGUCAAAGACUUGUGCUAUCAAACAUUGACCGAGACUCUACAUCAUAGUUUACAGUUUGUCAUAUAGUUGUUUUUAACUUGAAAGGGUAUUUUUAUCUAUGCAGAAAGAGACUAUUCAUUGCUGACCAAUUAUGGAAUAACAAGACUAAUCACGAGCUUUCCACCCUCACUUGCUGGGGGUGGAUGGAGAUUUGUAAGUAAGUAAGUAAGUAAAACUUUAUUUAUAUACCACUCUCUCUCCCCGAAGGGACUCAGGGCGGUUUACAAGCAUAAAAACAGCAACAUACAUUACAAGAAACACAUUAUUAAACAAAAAUAAAGACCCAUACAACUCGUAAAACAGUGAAGACCAUAAGAAACAAUCACAACAACCAGAAGGAACAAGAAUACAUAAUUAGAUGGGUUGAAAUGGACCGUUAUUAGGGAUAGAUCAUCCUUGUACAGCAUGUUUACGGGCCAGGGGUCGGAAGUACACCUGAGAAAAUUAUUCAAAGACCCUCCGGAACCACCAGGUUUUCAACUCCUUGCGAAAGGAGGACAGAGUAGGGGCUUGCCUAAUCUCCUUUGGCAGGAGAUUCCAGAGCCAGGAGGACACUACUAAGAAGGCCCGCUCCCUCGUCUCCACCAGACACGCUUGGUACAAAGAUGGGAGUGAGAGAAGGGCCUCCCCGGACGAUCUCUGGGCCCGCGAUGGUUCAUAGGGGGAGAUGUGAUCAUGGAGAUAGGCAGGACCCGAGCCGUAUAAGGCAACCUCUGAUGAGUGAAAUCACAAGGAAAAUAGUCCUCUAGGACUAUUUUCGAAGGUGGACUUGCUCAGCCA
RNAcentral lists this long non-coding RNA (2646 nucleotides) under Anolis carolinensis (green anole). RNAcentral describes it as "lncRNA (ENSACAG00000041327.1)". The record is from RNAcentral. Lineage: Eukaryota; Metazoa; Chordata; Lepidosauria; Squamata; Anolidae.